Molecule: ribosomal RNA, 465 nt
Filed under: uncultured bacterium
Lineage: Bacteria
Description: partial 16S ribosomal RNA
Rfam family: Bacterial small subunit ribosomal RNA
Source: RNAcentral
CCUACGGGUGGCAGCAGUGGGGAAUAUUGCGCAAUGGGCGAAAGCCUGACGCAGCGACGCCGCGUGAGGGAUGAAGGUCUUCGGAUCGUAAACCUCUGUUAGCAGGGAAGAACGGUCAUUGUGCUAAUCAGCAGUGAAUUGACGGUACCUGCAAAGGAAGCACCGGCUAACUCCGUGCCAGCAGCCGCGGUAAUACGGAGGGUGCGUGCGUUAAUCGGAAUUAUUGGGCGUAAAGCGCUCGUAGGCGGUAUGUCAAGUCAAGGGUGAAAGUCCCGCGCACAACGUGGGAACUGCCUUUGAAACUGGCAAACUGGAGUGUGUGAGAGGAUAGUGGAAUUCCAGGUGUAGGGGUGAAAUCCGUAGAUAUCUGGAGGAACACCAGUGGCGAAGGCGACUAUCUGGCACAUAACUGACGCUGAGGAGCGAAAGCGUGGGUAGCAAACAGGAUUAGAUACCCCAGUAGUC